AAAAGAGGAGAAAGGGAGAGGGGAGGAAGAGAGGAGGGGAGAGUAGAAAAAGAACAAUGGCUUCUUUCUCCUCAAAGUAAAAACAGCUCUAGAGUAUUUUUUGAGAGAGAGAGGGGGCUAGAGUACUCUUUAGAUAUUUCCUAGCUACCAUGAUUUAUGGAACCCAGAUUUUCAACCUUGGAUUAAAUGACUUUUUCUUAUAUAUUAAACAUUGUUGUUAUUGGAUUUUAAUCUUGAUCCCUUAUGCUAGGUAUAUUAUUAUGAACAUAUACGUAUAAUAAACCUACAACAACGUACAUAGUUGUAAAUACAUUCAUUAUAUAUGUCUAGCCUCUUGAUUCACCUUCGCACACAUGUUAAUAGGCUUUUUCAUUGUUUAAUUUUUUUAAAUCUUUUUCUAUAGAGAAAUUUUUUUGGACAUUAACUCUAUUUUUUUUUUAUUAAAUUAUUUGCAUUUGAAUAGACUAUUAUUUUACGUAUUUAUCCCUUUAAAAUGAAGUAGUUGCGUUUUGAAAUACUUUUUUUUUUCUUUAACAAGAGCAAUUUUGAAUUAUUUGGAAAUCUAAUCUUAUGUGCUUGACGUUUGCUGAGUGUUUAUUAAUGAUGUAUAUAAACAAGUAUAUCUCAUCAUCAAAUCAUAAGAUUGCAACCACCACGUACGCUUUAACGUAAGAGCCAGAUUUCAAACUUGUACACGUGGUAUGGACCACCAGCAUAAUUGGGUAUGUCCGUAGCCCGAGCUAAAGCCUAAAAUGCAGGGCACCCACAAGAACAAAGCAACAGAAAUUUGGACUGACGGUAAGACAUAGGUAGCCUUAUUUGAUUUGAUCAACCUCUCCUCCCUCGUGAAAGAGAAUAUUACCAAGAAAUAGAGCAUUCACUAUUGAAAGAGUAUAUCUCAACAAAAUUUGUUGCCAGUAAAUUCUGGACAAUGCACAUGCAGUGAUGUCCCGAUAAUCAUUGAGGGUGGUGGCUUGCAUUUAAGUUUGAAUUUCUCUUCAGGCUUGUGUACGAUCAUCUACUC
Molecule: long non-coding RNA, 1024 nt
Filed under: Prunus persica (peach)
Lineage: Eukaryota; Viridiplantae; Streptophyta; Magnoliopsida; Rosales; Rosaceae
Description: long non-coding RNA (PPER_LNC000220)
Source: RNAcentral